GGCACGGUGGUGCAGUGGGUAGCACUGUCAUCUCACAACAAGGGUGUGAAUGGGUUUGAAUCCCAGCCUGGGCCU
RNAcentral lists this transfer RNA (75 nucleotides) under Anguilla anguilla (European eel). RNAcentral describes it as "tRNA-Val". The record is from RNAcentral. Lineage: Eukaryota; Metazoa; Chordata; Actinopteri; Anguilliformes; Anguillidae.